This 928-nucleotide ribosomal RNA is filed under the name Notocotylus sp. GYSP260_CHMB. Its description in RNAcentral is "partial large subunit ribosomal RNA". It matches the Rfam family "Eukaryotic large subunit ribosomal RNA", at positions 405 to 937 of the family's 3401-position model. The record is from RNAcentral. Lineage: Eukaryota; Metazoa; Platyhelminthes; Trematoda; Plagiorchiida; Notocotylidae.
CCGCUCAGAGGUAAACGGGUGGAGUUGAACUGCGAACCCUGAGAAUUCAACUGGUGAGUGUGGUAUGAGCUUGGCAUGAUGGUUGGCUCUGCGGGUCUGCUUAGCUGCAGGUCUUCGCCUUCUGGUGGAGAUGCGCGAUACACUUGCCAAGUGUUGCGCGCUCGUUGAGUUACUCGGACAUGCUUGCCAGUGCACUUUCUCGGGGUGUUCACCACGACCGGCGCCGCUACUUGUCCAGUAUGGUUAAACCGGUCUUGCUUGGUCCUUGUGGCUUUGCUUGAUCGGGACGGCAGGUAACUCGUUGACUUGUGUGUUGGCCUCGGUUGACAUGCGCUUGGUUUUCGAGUGUAAUCAGCUGACUGUAUUGGUGCUAUGUGGUGCGUCGGAGACGGCGGCUUGUGGUGUGUGCCUGCGUGCCUAUUUGCUGACGGAACCGGGUUUGGUUAUUAUGUUGCCUGUUCUGCAGGCCUGGUGAUGGCUCGGUUUCGCUUGGUGGAUGGGAGCGUGUGUGACACUUAUCAGGGCCUAUAGUCUGUGGUGUUGUGGUAGACUAUCCACCUGACCCGUCUUGAAACACGGACCAAGGAGAGUAACAUGUGCGCGAGUCAUGGGGUGUUACGAAACCCAAAGGCGAAGUGAAAGUAAAGACUUGACUUGUUCGAGUUGAGGUGAGAUCCUGUCGUUUCUCAUGCGCGGUACUUCCAAGCAUUCGAGCGAUGGGCGCAUCACCGGCCCGUCCCAUGGUGUGGUCACUGUCUUCGGAUUGGUGCGUCACCGGGGCGGAGCAUGAGCGCACAUGUUGAGACCCGAAAGAUGGUGAACUAUGCUUGCGCAGGUUGAAGCCAGAGGAAACUCUGGUGGAGGACCGUAGCGAUUCUGACGUGCAAAUCGAUCGUCAAACGUGAGUAUAGGGGCGAAAGACUAAUCG